This 473-nucleotide ribosomal RNA is filed under the name uncultured organism. RNAcentral's name for it is "partial 16S ribosomal RNA". It matches the Rfam family "Bacterial small subunit ribosomal RNA", at positions 335 to 799 of the family's 1533-position model. The record is from RNAcentral.
ACUCCUGCGGGAGGCAGCAGUGGGGAAUUUUGGACAAUGGGCGAAAGCCUGAUCCAGCAAUGCCGCGUGAGUGAAGAAGGCCUUCGGGUUGUAAAGCUCUUUUGUCAGGGAAGAAACGGUGAAAGCUAAUAUCUUUUGCUAAUGACGGUACCUGAAGAAUAAGCACCGGCUAACUACGUGCCAGCAGCCGCGGUAAUACGUAGGGUGCAAGCGUUAAUCGGAAUUACUGGGCGUAAAGCGUGCGCAGGCGGUUUUGUAAGUCUGAUGUGAAAUCCCCGGGCUCAACCUGGGAAUUGCAUUGGGGACUGCAAGGCUAGAAUCUGGCAGAGGGGGGUAGAAUUCCACGUGUAGCAGUGAAAUGCGUAGAUAUGUGGAGGAACACCGAUGGCGAAGGCAGCCCCCUGGGUCAAGAUUGACGCUCAUGCACGAAAGCGUGGGGAGCAAACAGGAUUAGAUACCCUUGUAGUCCCAUG